RNAcentral lists this ribosomal RNA (837 nucleotides) under uncultured Abiotrophia sp. Its description in RNAcentral is "bacterial SSU rRNA". It matches the Rfam family "Bacterial small subunit ribosomal RNA", at positions 61 to 872 of the family's 1533-position model. The record is from RNAcentral. Lineage: Bacteria; Bacillati; Bacillota; Bacilli; Lactobacillales; Aerococcaceae.
GUCGAACGAACCGCGACUGAGUGCUUGCACUUGGUCAAGGUGAGUGGCGAACGGGUGAGUAACACGUGGGUAACCUACCUCAUAGUGGGGGAUAACAGUCGGAAACGACUGCUAAUACCGCAUAGGACAUAGGAUCACAUGAUCCAGUGAGGAAAGGUGGCGCAAGCUAUCGCUAAGAGAUGGACCCGCGGUGCAUUAGCUAGUUGGUAGGGUAACGGCCUACCAAGGCGAUGAUGCAUAGCCGACCUGAGAGGGUGAUCGGCCACAUUGGGACUGAGACACGGCCCAAACUCCUACGGGAGGCAGCAGUAGGGAAUCUUCCGCAAUGGACGCAAGUCUGACGGAGCAACGCCGCGUGAGUGAAGAAGGUCUUCGGAUCGUAAAGCUCUGUUGUUAGAGAAGAACAGCGCAUAGAGUAACUGUUAUGCGUGUGACGGUAUCUAACCAGAAAGCCACGGCUAACUACGUGCCAGCAGCCGCGGUAAUACGUAGGUGGCGAGCGUUGUCCGGAUUUAUUGGGCGUAAAGGGAGUGUAGGCGGUCUUUUAAGUCUGAUGUGAAAGCCCACGGCUUAACCGUGGAGGGUCAUUGGAAACUGGGAGACUUGAGUGCAGAAGAGGAGAGCGGAAUUCCAUGUGUAGCGGUGAAAUGCGUAGAUAUAUGGAGGAACACCAGUGGCGAAGGCGGCUCUCUGGUCUGUAACUGACGCUGAGGCUCGAAAGCGUGGGGAGCAAACAGAUUAAGAUACCCUGGUAGUCACACGCCGUAAACGAUGAGUGCUAAGUGUUGGAGGGGUUCCACCCUUCAGUUGCUGGAGUUAACGCAAUAAGCACUCCGC